Bacillus sp. TS-2 is the source of this 180-nucleotide non-coding RNA. The record is from Rfam. Lineage: Bacteria; Bacillati; Bacillota; Bacilli; Caryophanales; Bacillaceae.
AAUAGCCUGCAAUGUUAGUGAGCUUUAUUUUGUUUCGAACCUUGUUUUCAAAAAGGGAGCUUUAUAUGCAAUGUUAGACAACAUGCCAAUUACGUUGGACGUUGAACGAUAUUCUGCGAGCACCCACCUACGAUUGUAGGUUCAUGAAACAACGUUAGCAACGGCAUACGCGGGUUUUGA